GAUGAGCGCUAGCGGCAGGCCUAACACAUGCAAGUCGAGGGGCAGCACAGGUAGCAAUACUGGGUGGCGACCGGCGGAUGGGUGCGUAACGCGUAUGCAACCUACCAUUGAUUGGGGCAUAGCCCGAAGAAAUUCGGAUUAAUACUCCAUAAUAUUCAUCAAAGGCAUCUUUUAUGAAUUAAAGCUUUUGCGAUCAAUGAUGGGCAUGCGUGACAUUAGUUAGUUGGUGAGGUAACGGCUCACCAAAACGAUGAUGUCUAGGGGUUCUGAGAGGAUUAUCCCCCACACUGGUACUGAGACACGGACCAGGACUCCUACGGGAGGCAGCAGUGAGGAAUAUUGGUCAAUGGACGCAAGUCUGAACCAGCCAUGCCGCGUGCAGGAUGACGGCCCUAUGGGUUGUAAACUGCUUUUCCACGGGAAGAACCCUCCGACGUGUCGGAGACUGACGGUACCGUGGGAAUAAGCAUCGGCUAACU
Molecule: ribosomal RNA, 479 nt
Filed under: uncultured bacterium
Lineage: Bacteria
Description: bacterial SSU rRNA
Rfam family: Bacterial small subunit ribosomal RNA
Source: RNAcentral